UAGUGUAGGUGUAAUAGUGUAGUGUAGGUGUAAUAGUGUAGGUGUAAUAGUGUAGGUGUAGUAGUGUAGGUGUAGUAGUGUAGGUGUAAUAGUGUAGUGUAGGUGUAAUAGUGUAGGUGUAGUAGUGUAGUGUAGGUGUAGUAGUGUAGUGUAGGUGUAAUAGUGUAGUGUAGGUGUAGUAGUGUAGGUGUAGUAGUGUAGGUGUAAUAGUGUAGGUGUAAUAGUGUAGUGUAGGUGUAAUAGUGUAGGUGUAGUAGUGUAGGUGUAGUAGUGUAGGUGUAAUAGUGUAGUGUAGGUGUAGUAGUGUAGGUGUAAUAGUGUAGGUGUAGUAGUGUAGGUGUAAUAGUGCAGUGUAGGUGUAAUAGUGUAGGUGUAGUAGUGUAGGUGUAAUAGUGUAGUGUAGGUGUAAUAGUGUAGGUGUAAUAGUGUAGGUGUAGUAGUGUAGGUGUAGUAGUGUAGGUGUAAUAGUGUAGGUGUAGUAGUGUAGGUGUAGUAGUGUAGGUGUAAUAGUGUAGUGUAGGUGUAGUAGUGUAGGUGUAGUAGUGUAGGUGUAAUAGUGUAGUGUAGGUGUAGUAGUGUAGGUGUAAUAGUGUAGUGUAGGUGUAAUAGUGUAGGUGUAGUAGUGUAGGUGUAAUAGUGUAGGUGUAAUAGUGUAGUGUAGGUGUAAUAGUGUAGGUGUAGUAGUGUAGGUGUA
Molecule: long non-coding RNA, 694 nt
Organism: Oncorhynchus keta (chum salmon)
Lineage: Eukaryota; Metazoa; Chordata; Actinopteri; Salmoniformes; Salmonidae
Exons: 3
Source: RefSeq, a predicted model, not a curated record